This 494-nucleotide ribosomal RNA is filed under the name uncultured bacterium. Its description in RNAcentral is "partial 16S ribosomal RNA". It matches the Rfam family "Bacterial small subunit ribosomal RNA", at positions 28 to 507 of the family's 1533-position model. The record is from RNAcentral.
GACGAACGCUGGCGGCGUGCUUAACACAUGCAAGUCGAACGGUGAAGCGCCUUCCUUUUUGGUGGGUGUGGAUGAGUGGCGAACGGGUGAGUAACACGUGAGUAACCUGCCCCCUUCUUCUGGAUAACCGCAUGAAAGUGUGGCUAAUACGGGAUAUUCUGGGUCUGUCGCAUGAUGGGUCUGGGAAAGAUAUUGUUUCGGUGGGGGAUGGGCUCGCGGCCUAUCAGCUUGUUGGUGGGGUGAUGGCCUACCAAGGCGGUGACGGGUAGCCGGCCUGAGAGGGUGGACGGUCACGCUGGGACUGAGACACGGCCCCGACUCCUACGGGAGGCAGCAGUGGGGAAUAUUGCACAAUGGGCGCAAGCCUGAUGCAGCGACGCCGCGUGAGGGAUGGAGGCCUUCGGGUUGUGAACCUCUUUCGCCAGUGAAGCAGGCCUGCCUCGUUUGUGGGUGGGUUGACGGUAGCUGGAUAAGAAGCGCCGGCUAACUACGUG